GAGCUAUGAGGAAGAAACUAAUGCAUUCUGAUAUAUCACUGAAGACUGUCAGAUCCAACUCUGAGCUCACUUUCUCU
RNAcentral lists this small nucleolar RNA (77 nucleotides) under Sphenodon punctatus (tuatara). RNAcentral's name for it is "Small nucleolar RNA SNORD19 (ENSSPUG00000003609.1)". It matches the Rfam family "Small nucleolar RNA SNORD19". From Rfam's summary of the family: Homo sapiens C/D box snoRNA HBII-108: This snoRNA is the human orthologue of the mouse MBII-108 and is predicted to guide 2'O-ribose methylation of the small 18S rRNA on position G683. snoRNA HBII-108 is encoded in a nucleostemin (NS) gene intron like the HBII-210 The record is from Rfam by way of RNAcentral. Lineage: Eukaryota; Metazoa; Chordata; Lepidosauria; Sphenodontia; Sphenodontidae.